Molecule: non-coding RNA, 29 nt
Filed under: Rattus norvegicus (Norway rat)
Lineage: Eukaryota; Metazoa; Chordata; Mammalia; Rodentia; Muridae
Source: RNAcentral
UGAAGUAGGCCAUUUGGAGGACGUAUCUA